UACGGGGGGGGCAAGCGUUGUUCGGAAUUACUGGGCGUAAAUGGCUCGUAGGUGGCCAACUAAGUCAGACGUGAAAUCCCUCGGCUUAACCGGGAACUGCGUCUGAUACUGGAUGGCUUGAGUUCAGGAGAGGGAUGCGGAAUUCCAGGUGUAGCGGUGAAAUGCGUAGAUAUCUGGAGGAACACCGGUGGCGAAGGCGGCAUCCUGGACCGACACUGACACUGAGGAGCGAAAGCCAGGGGAGCAAACGGG
RNAcentral lists this ribosomal RNA (252 nucleotides) under uncultured bacterium. Its description in RNAcentral is "partial 16S ribosomal RNA". It matches the Rfam family "Bacterial small subunit ribosomal RNA", at positions 524 to 776 of the family's 1533-position model. The record is from RNAcentral.